GCCCAGACAACCAGGAUGUUGGCUUAGAAGCAGCCAUGCAUUCAAAGAGUGCGUAACAGCUCACUGGUCGAGUGGACAUGCGCCGACAAUACACGGGGCUAAGCUGGACACCGAAGCGGCGGGAUUUUAAUUCAUUAGAAUCGGUAGGGGAGCUUCCCAUGGGCGGGGAAGCCGCCGGGCGACCGGCGGUGGAGCGCAUGGGAGUGAGAAUGCUGGCAUGAGUAGCGAGAGACGAGAGAGUAACUCGUCCGCCGUGAACCCGAGGUUUCCUGGGCAAGGCUAAUCCUCCCAGGGUCAGUCGGGGGCUAAGGCGAGGCCGGGAGGCGUAGCCGACGCGCAGCAGGCAGACAUUCCUGCACCGCGCACGCGGCGCUACGACCGACGGGGCGACGGAUGGGGGUGGCUCGGCGGGGUUCUGGACGUCCCCGUGAUGGAGCGCGGCCCGCGGACCAGGGAAAUCCGGUCCGCACGAGGGCGAGGCUCCGGACGAAGCGAUCAAGCGAAGCGAGUGAGCCCGAGGUCCCUAGAAAAACCCCUAGGCAGGCGCGUGCGCGCCCGUACCGCAAACCGACACAGGUGGGUGGGUAGAACAUACCGAGGCGAUCGGGUCAACCAUGGUCAAGGAACUCGGCACAAUGGCCCCGUAACUUCGGGAGAAGGGGUGCCCGCGCGUACGUGAACGGACUUGCUCCGGGAGCGGAGGCGGGCCGCAGUGGAGAGGCCCAAGCGACUGUUUACCAAAAACACAGGACUCUGCAGAAGCCGCAAGGCGACGUAUAGGGUCUGACGCCUGCCCGGUGCCGGAAGGUCACGCGGAGGAGUUAGCUUUCGAGCGAAGCCCCGAAGCCAAGCCCCGGUAAACGGCGGCCGUAACUAUAACGGUCCUAAGGUAGCGAAAUUCCUUGUCGGGUAAGUUCCGACCUGCACGAAAGGCGCAACGACUUGGGCGCUGUCUCGACCAUGGACCCGGUGAAAUUGCACUGGUCGUGAAGAUGCGACUUACCCGCGGAAGGACGGAAAGACCCCGUGAACCUUCACUGCAGCUUGGCAUUGGCCGCUGGUCCCGCGUGUAGAGGAUAGGCAGGAGGCAUCGAUCCGGAGGCGCCAGCCCCCGGGGAGCCGCCCUUGGAAUACUGCCCUCGCGCGACCGGCGUCCUAACCCGAGGCCGUCACCCGGCUCGGGGACCGUGCCAGGCGGGCAGUUUGACUGGGGCGGUCGCCUCCUAAAGGGUAACGGAGGCGCGCGAAGGUCCGCUCGGGACGGUCGGCAACCGUCCUUUUGAAUGCAAGAGUACAAGCGGGCUUGACUGCGAGGCCCACAAGCCGAGCAGGUGCGAAAGCAGGCUCUAGUGAUCCGGCGGCCCCGAGUGGGUGGGCCGUCGCUCAACGGAUAAAAGGUACUCCGGGGAUAACAGGCUGAUCUUGCCCAAGAGUCCACAUCGACGGCAAGGUUUGGCACCUCGAUGUCGGCUCAUCGCAUCCUGGGGCUGGAGCAGGUCCCAAGGGUACGGCUGUUCGCCGUUUAAAGCGGUACGCGAGCUGGGUUCAGAACGUCGUGAGACAGUUCGGUCCCUAUCCUCCGUGGGCGCAGGAGAAUCGAUGGAGGCUGCCCCCAGUACGAGAGGACCGGGGUGGACGCACCUCCGGUGAACCGGUUGUCGACCAACGGCACGGCCGGGUAGCCGCGUGCGGCGCGGAUAACCGCUGAAGGCAUCUAAGCGGGAAGCCGUUCCAGGGAUUAGUUCUCCUUCCGGUAAGGGCCCAGGUAGACUACCUGGUCGAUAGACGGCAGGUGCAAGGCUGGCGACAGCCUCAGCCGAGCCGCACUAAUCGCCCGAGCUCUUCCGGAA
RNAcentral lists this ribosomal RNA (1850 nucleotides) under human gut metagenome. RNAcentral describes it as "bacterial LSU rRNA". It matches the Rfam family "Bacterial large subunit ribosomal RNA", at positions 1083 to 2925 of the family's 2925-position model. The record is from RNAcentral.